AUGGGAACGCAAGCAUGCCUCCAUCACCACCACCAUCAUCAAUCAAGAAACACUUGCCUCACACCUCCUCUGGAGCACACUGGUUUUUAUUCGCAACUCCAAGUUUUGGGAAAACCAUCUCAAGGUAAAGGCUGGUUUUUAAAAUCAUUCUGCUCCUACUACCCAUUCCCCCACCCACAACAAUGGAAUGACUUAUUAGUAAUAUGCUGAGGGCGUACAGCUCCACCAGGAUUUACUUCCUGUUUCUACUUGGACUGGUUUAGUAUUAGUUUCCAAUGUUCUGAAAUUGCACGUCAGAAUUUAUUUGAAAACAUAAUAAUUUGGAAAUGGAUAUCUUGCUAAUUGGAGCAUCUGUCUCUAGCUACAGCUCUUUUCUUCUUUUUUGUAACAUCUUGAUUUAUAACGAUCAUCUCACCUUUGCAGAUAUCGUAGUAUUUAGGAAUAAUGCUCAACCCUGUUCUGUCUCUGGAAUAACAUAAAGUCAUCCUGGGUUAUGCUAUUAUUCUACUACCUACGAAUUAUCUCUGUGCUUCGUUCCCUAUCGGUUUGGUUUUUUGCCAAAGUGGUGAUUUAUGUUUGCUUGCUUCUAGACUAUAUAAUUGCAAUGCUUUCAUAUACAGACUAACUGAUUAGACUCUGCACAGAAAGAAGGGAAUACAGUUCACUUAAUCAAGUGUGUUACACACAAUUCCCCAUUUCCUUAGGCUUUCUCACGUUUCCCUUUGCUGAGGUGGGAUACAGAAGCCAUACCACUAAAGUCAAGACCCUGACAAUUUCCAAAAGUGUCUGUGAAACUUAUAGAACUUAGGCUUCUAGAAUUAAAAGUACCAUUUACAUCAGCAAAAGAGCUGCUAUUUUGAUCAUGGGAAGUUUCCUCCAAAUAGGUGUAUAAACCAGAGCUGAUUUUGCUUUUGCUCUUAGUUUUCUUUCAGACCUCAUUGAGUUUCAACAUGAUGUAUACAAACAACCUUAUCCUUCUGGAGUCAGGCCCUUUGGAUUGCCCUGCUUAAAGGAAUGAUGGUCCUGGAGAAGAGUUUCUCACACGGUUUAACAUUUCUCCCCAUGCAGCUGACCUUAAUCCCUGGCCAAUAACCAGCAUCCCUUUGGGCACCUUUUAUUUUUAAUUUUUAUUUAAAGAUUUUAUUUAUUUAUUCAUGAGAGAGAAUGAGACAGAGAAGCACAGACACAGGCAGAGGGAGAAGCAGGCUCCAUGCAGGGAGCCUGACAUGGGACUCGAUCCUGGGUCUCCAGGAUCACGCCCUGGGCCGAAGGCGGCAAACCGCUGAGCCACCCAGACGUCCCUUUGGGCACCUUUAAUAAUUGGGGGGCUUCAGUAUUUUAUUUUAUUUUUAAAAUUAUUUUUAAAAGAUUAUUUAUUUACCUUUUUUUUUUUUUUUAUUUCACAGAGAAUGAAUGAGAGAGAGCGCACAAGCAAGCUCCCUGCUGAGCAGAGAGCCUGACAUGGACUGGGAUCCCAGGACCUGAGCCAAAGGCAGCCUCUUAACUAACGGGGCCACCCAGGCACCCCAGGGGUUCACUAUUUUAAACAGCUGGUAACACUGCUGUAUAUUUCUACUUGCUGGUUCCUUCUUCCUUUUCAAUAGGAUCCCAAGCCUCCUCUGGGGUAAUCACUUUGUAGCCUUGUUUUGUUUUUUUCUCUUGUCUGUAGCACUUGCCAUGGACUGGCUGUUUGUGUUCCCCAGAUUCAUAUGUUGAAACUCUUAUCCCCCAUGUGAUGGUGUUUGGAGAUGGGGCCUUUGUGAGGUAACUAGGUCAUGAAGAGGCAACCCUUUAGAUAGCAUUAGUGCCUUUAUGAGAAGACACAGGAGAGAGCUUGCUUCCUUUCUCUCUACCAAAUGAGGGUACAGGAUGGACUUUUAUAAACCAGAAAGAGGGGCUUCACCAAGAACCUACCAUGCUGGCACUGUGGUCUCUAAAUUCCAGCCCCCAGAGCUGUGAGAAAGAACUUCUUGUUUAAACAACCCAGUUGUUCCUAUUUUUAGGAUAGCACCCUCAAACGGACAAACCAGCACUCAUGAAGUGUAUUCCACAUGGAGACCAUUCAGAUAAAAAGAGAGUUAUCAAAUUUGUCUUAAGCCCUUUCACGAACUAAACAUAUCCAAUUUCUUUUAGCUAUCCCUCACCUCCCUGUUUUUUUAAAUAUUUCACCUUUCUGUUCAGGUUUGUAGCAAGUAUUUCUCUUUGCCAGUUUCUCUCCUUGACCAGCCAAGGUGAUCCUGCUAAUAUUACUUAACCACUUCCUAACUUGUGCUACAAUAGACGUGUAUAGGCUAUGCCUUCCUACCCAAAAACUCUAAAUUCUAAGACAUUCACAGAAGAAACCCAAUGCAGAAAAAAAGACUCCUCAAAAACAAAGCACUCUGCACAACUCUAUGGGAGAUAAUAAAUUAAAUUAAAUAUUACAUAUAUAUCUCCGCAAUGACUAAUGGAUCAAGUUUCCUAUUUACUUCCUGAAAGAAUGGGCAUGGUUAUUAUUUUUUAAAGUUUGAAAGGACAGAAUCCAAAUGAUAAUAAUAAUAAUAAUUCUGGAGUGAAAGUAUUACAGAUACCUUUUGUUGCUUUUGCUUAUUUGAUACUUCUAAUUUUUUUCUACAAGGAGCCAGUAUUGUUUAUGGAACUCUUUUUAAGACAGCCAGCCUUGUUUAUGUAGCUCUGUUUUAGACUCAAUACUCUGAAACAAUUUGUCAAUUAAUUAUAUGGCGUAGAUGACUUCCAAAUGUUUAAACUCUGGACACUAAAAAAACGUGGAAAUUGUAUUUUAACAUCUUUCAGUAUAAAACAAUUAUAGUUUUAUAAUUGAGACAAAAUCAUGAGAAAUUAUCCAUGACCCUAAAGUACAGGCAAGGAUUCUGAACAAAGAAUUCAUUGGAAACAUUCAAGCAAAAGCACUGCCUCUGGGUACAUUGUUUUAAACUCAUUUCUUUUGGAACCUUACUGUGGAAGAUAUGCAUACAGUGAUGUUAGCCCACGGUAACACGCAACAGAACAUGUAUUAUUAAACUCGGAAUACUUAUAUGCAUCCUUAGACAAAGAUACCCAAAGUAGCUGCCUGAAUUGAGACAUCUGGAGAAUGGAGGCAUUAUGUGUUGACCUAGGAUAAUUUGCUAUGAUGCUGGUGAUUUUCUAUUCAUUUUCUUCAGUAAUUUUCAAAAGACUAUUGUAUUUAAAAACCAAAUUGCUGGCACGAUGCAAUUUGAAAAAAAAAAUGCAUCCAGU
This 3237-nucleotide long non-coding RNA is filed under the name Canis lupus familiaris (dog). RNAcentral describes it as "lncRNA (ENSCAFG00040001752.1)". The record is from RNAcentral. Lineage: Eukaryota; Metazoa; Chordata; Mammalia; Carnivora; Canidae.